UACAUCUUCAGGAGCCAGAGAGCA
This 24-nucleotide non-coding RNA is filed under the name Mus musculus (house mouse). Lineage: Eukaryota; Metazoa; Chordata; Mammalia; Rodentia; Muridae. The record is from RNAcentral.